This 818-nucleotide ribosomal RNA is filed under the name Meristemomyces arctostaphyli. RNAcentral describes it as "LSU rRNA". It matches the Rfam family "Eukaryotic large subunit ribosomal RNA", at positions 76 to 922 of the family's 3401-position model. The record is from RNAcentral. Lineage: Eukaryota; Fungi; Ascomycota; Dothideomycetes; Mycosphaerellales; Teratosphaeriaceae.
UGCCUCAGUAACGGCGAGUGAAGCGGCAACAGCUCAAAUUUGAAAUCUGGCGCAAGCCCGAGUUGUAAUUUGUAGAGGAUGCUUCUGGGCAGCGGCCGGUCUAAGUUCCUUGGAACAGGACGUCAUAGAGGGUGAGAAUCCCGUAUGCGACCGGUUGGCACCCUAUACGUAGCUCCUUCGACGAGUCGAGUUGUUUGGGAAUGCAGCUCUAAAUGGGAGGUAAAUUUCUUCUAAAGCUAAAUACCGGCCAGAGACCGAUAGCGCACAAGUAGAGUGAUCGAAAGAUGAAAAGCACUUUGGAAAGAGAGUUAAAAAGCACGUGAAAUUGUUGAAAGGGAAGCGCACGCAACCAGACUUGUUGGCGGUGUUCCGCCGGUCUUCUGACCGGUCUACUCGCCGCCGACAGGCCAGCAUCACUUGGGUGCGCCGGAUAAAGGCGCGGGGAAUGUAGCUCCCUUCGGGGAGUGUUAUAGCCCCGCGCACAAUACGGUGCCGCCCGAGUGAGGUCCGCGCUUCGGCUAGGAUGCUGGCGUAAUGGUUGUGUGCGGCCCGUCUUGAAACACGGACCAAGGAGUCUAACAUCUAUGCGAGUGUUCGGGUGUCAAACCCCUACGCGUAAUGAAAGUGAACGGAGGUGGGAACCGCAAGGUGCACCAUCGACCGAUCCUGAUGUCUUCGGAUGGAUUUGAGUAAGAGCAUAGCUGUUGGGACCCGAAAGAUGGUGAACUAUGCCUGAAUAGGGUGAAGCCAGAGGAAACUCUGGUGGAGGCUCGCAGCGGUUCUGACGUGCAAAUCGAUCGUCAAAUUUGGGUAUAGGG